This 219-nucleotide ribosomal RNA is filed under the name uncultured bacterium. RNAcentral describes it as "partial 16S ribosomal RNA". It matches the Rfam family "Bacterial small subunit ribosomal RNA", at positions 524 to 740 of the family's 1533-position model. The record is from RNAcentral.
UACGGAGGGUGCAAGCGUUUGUCCGGAUUUAUUGGGUUUAAAGGGUGCGUAGGCGGCCCUGUAAGUCAGUGGUGAAAUACUGCAGCUUAACUGUAGCAUUGCCAUUGAUACUGCAGGGCUUGAGUACAGAUGAGGUAGGCGGAAUUGAUGGUGUAGCGGUGAAAUGCAUAGAUACCAUCAAGAACACCGAUUGCGAAGGCAGCUUACUAAGCUGUAAAC